This 498-nucleotide ribosomal RNA is filed under the name Bacillus sp. SAP5. Its description in RNAcentral is "bacterial SSU rRNA". It matches the Rfam family "Bacterial small subunit ribosomal RNA", at positions 27 to 506 of the family's 1533-position model. Lineage: Bacteria; Bacillati; Bacillota; Bacilli; Caryophanales; Bacillaceae. The record is from RNAcentral.
GGACGAACGCUGGCGGCGUGCCUAAUACAUGCAAGUCGAGCGGACCGACGGGAGCUUGCUCCCUUAGGUCAGCGGCGGACGGGUGAGUAACACGUGGGUAACCUGCCUGUAAGACUGGGAUAACUCCGGGAAACCGGGGCUAAUACCGGAUGCUUGAUUGAACCGCAUGGUUCAAUCAUAAAAGGUGGCUUUYAGCUACCACUUACAGAUGGACCCGCGGCGCAUUAGCUAGUUGGUGAGGUAACGGCUCACCAAGGCGACGAUGCGUAGCCGACCUGAGAGGGUGAUCGGCCACACUGGGACUGAGACACGGCCCAGACUCCUACGGGAGGCAGCAGUAGGGAAUCUUCCGCAAUGGACGAAAGUCUGACGGAGCAACGCCGCGUGAGUGAUGAAGGUUUUCGGAUCGUAAAACUCUGUUGUUAGGGAAGAACAAGUACCGUUCGAAUAGGGCGGYACCUUGACGGUACCUAACCAGAAAGCCACGGCUAACUACGU